This 1223-nucleotide ribosomal RNA is filed under the name metagenome. Its description in RNAcentral is "SSU rRNA". It matches the Rfam family "Eukaryotic small subunit ribosomal RNA", at positions 493 to 1774 of the family's 1831-position model. The record is from RNAcentral.
CUCAUGGUUUCACGGUAUUGCAAUGAUAACAAUUUAAAACCCUUAGCGAGAAUCAAGUGGAGGACAAGUCUGGUGCCAGCACCCGCGGUAAUUCCAGCUCCACUAGCGUAUAUUAAAGUUGUUGCAGUUAAAAAGCUCGUAGUUGAACCUCUGUCUGGGGCUAGUUUUGGCUUUGUCAGGCUAGUUCUAGGCAUCCGCCUACAAGACUUAGAGGGCAUUCAGUUGUUCACUAGGAGGAGUAGGCAUUUUACUUUGAAAAAAUUAGAGUGUUUAAGGCAGGCAAUCGCCCGCAUAUAUUAGCAUGGAAUAAUAGAAUAGGACACUUUUCCAUUUCGUUGGUUAUUGGAAUCGUGUAAUGAUUAAUAGGGACAGUUGUGGGCAUUUGUAUUUAAUUGUCAGAGGUGAAAUUCUUGGAUUUAUUAAAGACAAACUAACGCGAAAGCAUUUGCCAAGGAUGUUUUCAUUAAUCAAGAACGAAAGUUAGGGGAUCAAAGACGAUCAGAUACCGUCCUAGUCUUAACUAUAAACUAUUCCGACUCAAUGUUUGACUGGCUUAUAUAACCAGUUGAGCGUUGUAUGAGAAAUCAAAGUCUUUAGGUUCUGGGGAGAGUAUGGUUGCAAAGCUGAAACUUAAAGGAAUUGACGGAAGAGCACAACCAGGAGUGGAUUCUGCGGCUUAAUUUGACUCAACACGGGGAAACUUACCAGGUUAAAACAAUAGUGGGAUUGACAGUUUGAGAGCGCUUUCUUGAUUGGUUGGGUGGUGGUGCAUGGCCGUUCUUAGUUGGUGGAGUGAUUUGUCUGCUUAAUUGCGUUAACGAACGAGACCUUAACCUGCUUACUAGACUGGCGAUCAUCAAUCGUUAGCUCUUCUUAGAGGGACUUUGGUUGUUUUAACUCCAAGGAAGUUUGAGGCAAUAACAGGUCUGUGAUGCCCUUAGUUAUCAUGGGCCGCACGCGUCAUACAAUGACUAGUUCAGAAAGAUUUCUCCUGACCCGAAAGGGGAUGGGUAAUCUUGAUAAUACUAGUCGUGUUAGGGAUCGAUCUUUGCAACUAUAGAUCUUGAACGAGGAAUUCCUAGUAAGUGCGGUUCAUCAGACCGUACUGAUUACGUCCCUGCUCUUUGUACACACCGCCCGUCGCUUCUACCGAGUGGGUGGUCCGGUGAGAUAAUUGAACUUCGCAGGUAACUGAGAGGAAAGAUUAUCAAACCUAUCCACCU